AAUCCGUUUGAUCCUGGCGGAGGCCACUGCUUUUGGGGUUCGAUUAAGCCAUGCAAGUCGAACGAAUCUUCGGAUUCGUGGCGAACGGCUCAGUAACACGUGGAUAAUCUACCCUUAGGACUGGGAUAACCCUGGGAAACUGGGGAUAAUACCGGAUAGUUAGGAGUUCCUGGAAUGGUCUUCUUUUUAAAUGUUCAGGCGCCUAAGGAUGGAUCUGCGGCAGAUUAGGUAGUUGGUGGGGUAAUGGCCCACCAAGCCUUUG
Molecule: ribosomal RNA, 262 nt
Filed under: Methanobacterium veterum
Lineage: Archaea; Methanobacteriati; Methanobacteriota; Methanobacteria; Methanobacteriales; Methanobacteriaceae
Description: partial 16S ribosomal RNA
Rfam family: Archaeal small subunit ribosomal RNA
Source: RNAcentral